This 413-nucleotide long non-coding RNA is filed under the name Triticum aestivum (bread wheat). RNAcentral's name for it is "long non-coding RNA (TAES_LNC027513)". Lineage: Eukaryota; Viridiplantae; Streptophyta; Magnoliopsida; Poales; Poaceae. The record is from RNAcentral.
ACUAUUGAUGCUUUAGGGCGACAAAAGAUGCUAUGCUAAUUUCAUUGCAGCUCAGCUGAGACGAGAAGGAAAUAUACAUCACUUCUUUCCCAAUCUCACUUACUUUGAGCUAUUUUACAGGCGCCUCUCUUCACCAGAUGGCUCCCUGUCGAAGCAACGCAAACUGCCCGUCUCACCUACGAGAAAAGCUUCUUGAUCCACAACCAACUGCCCGUCUCACCUAUGAGAAAAGCUUCUUGAUCCAGCGAGAGAAAAGCUUCUUGAUCCACAACCAACUGCCCGUCUCACCUAUGAGAAAAGCUUCUUGAUCCAGCACCAACACCGCACACGUUCAUCUCGACCUUGUCUACGUGCAUAGAUUUCCUCCUGCUGAUACGGGGGAUCUUCUUCAGCUUGCCACCGCGGGAAUCCAG